RNAcentral lists this ribosomal RNA (253 nucleotides) under uncultured bacterium. Its description in RNAcentral is "partial 16S ribosomal RNA". It matches the Rfam family "Bacterial small subunit ribosomal RNA", at positions 524 to 776 of the family's 1533-position model. The record is from RNAcentral.
CACGUAGGGCGCAAGCGUUGUCCGGAAUUAUUGGGCGUAAAGAGCUCGUAGGUGGUUUGUUACGUCUGCUGUGAAAACCUAGGGCUUAACCCUGGGCUUGCAGUGGAUACGGGCAGACUAGAGGUAGGUAGGGGAGAAUGGAAUUCCUGGUGUAGCGGUGAAAUGCGCAGAUAUCAGGAGGAACACCGGUGGCGAAGGCGGCAUCCUGGACCGACACUGACGCUGAGACGCGAAAGCGUGGGGAGCGAACAGG